RNAcentral lists this ribosomal RNA (830 nucleotides) under uncultured bacterium. Its description in RNAcentral is "bacterial SSU rRNA". It matches the Rfam family "Bacterial small subunit ribosomal RNA", at positions 64 to 865 of the family's 1533-position model. The record is from RNAcentral.
GCACGAGAACGCUUCAGCUUGCUGAAGCUAGUAAAGUGGCGCACGGGUGAGUAACGCGUGGGUAAUCUACCUCCAAAUUGGGGAUAACAUUGCGAAAGCGAUGCUAAUACCGAAUAAUAUCUCAAGAACUUCGGCUUUUGAGAUCAAAGGUGGCCUCUCCAUGGAAGCUACUGUUAGGAGAUGAGCCCGCGUACCAUUAGCUUGUUGGUAGGGUAAUGGCCUACCAAGGCAACGAUGGUUAGCUGGUCUGAGAGGAUGAUCAGCCACACUGGAACUGACACACGGUCCAGACUCCUACGGGAGGCAGCAGUGAGGAAUUUUGCGCAAUGGGGGAAACCCUGACGCAGCAACGCCGCGUGAGUGAUGAAGGCUUUCGGGUCGUAAAGCUCUGUCAAGUGGGAAGAACCUGCCUAGUGCUAAUAUCACCGGGCACUGACGGUACCACUGAAGGAAGCACCGGCUAACUCCGUGCCAGCAGCCGCGGUAACACGGGGGGUGCAAGCGUUAUUCGGAAUCACUGGGCGUAAAGAGCGCGUAGGCGGUCUCUUAAGUCAGAUGUGAAAGCCCGGGGCUUAACCUCGGAAGUGCAUUUGAAACGAAGGGACUUGAGUAUGGGAGAGGGAAGUGGAAUUCCUGGUGUAGCGGUGAAAUGCGUAGAUAUCAGGAGGAACACCGGUGGCGAUGGCGACUUCCUGGACCAAUACUGACGCUGAGGCGCGAAGGCGUGGGGAGCAAACAGGAUUAGAUACCCUGGUAGUCCACGCAGUAAACGUUGAACACUACGUGUAGCGGGUAUUGACCCCUGCUGUGCCGCAGCUAACGCAUUAAGU